GCCUUUACUUUUCUUUGAGAGGCUAUAAGAUUUUAGGAAAAUUCCAUUCUUUCUUUCUUUCUUUCGUGCUAUUACUUGGGUCCAAUUGGUAUCUAAGUGAUACAAAUUGGUAUCUGACCAUCUUCACUCUAUUUCGCAGAUGGUUAGAACUAGAGCAACGACUACACCAACACCAACACCAGCACCGGCGGUACAGGGUGCGUCUGAGCCAGCCACUGGGGCUGU
This 225-nucleotide unclassified non-coding RNA is filed under the name Hevea brasiliensis (rubber tree). Lineage: Eukaryota; Viridiplantae; Streptophyta; Magnoliopsida; Malpighiales; Euphorbiaceae. The record is from RNAcentral.